GCUGGUGGCCAUACCGUGAGGGCCACACCCGUUCCCAUUCCGAACACGGCCGUUAAGCCUCACGGGCCGAUGAUACUGCGUCAGCGGGAAAGUAGGUUACUGCCAGCG
Molecule: ribosomal RNA, 108 nt
Filed under: Phycisphaerae bacterium
Lineage: Bacteria; Pseudomonadati; Planctomycetota; Phycisphaerae
Source: RNAcentral